Molecule: ribosomal RNA, 465 nt
Filed under: uncultured bacterium
Lineage: Bacteria
Description: partial 16S ribosomal RNA
Rfam family: Bacterial small subunit ribosomal RNA
Source: RNAcentral
GACGAACGCUGGCGGCGUGCUUAACACAUGCAAGUCGAACGGAAAGGCCCCUUCGGGGGUACUCGAGUGGCGAACGGGUGAGUAACACGUGAGUAACCUGCCCUUGACUUCGGGAUAACUUCAGGAAACUGGGGCUAAUACCGGAUAGGAAUCCUUGCUGCAUGGUGGGGGUUGGAAAGCUUCGGCGGUUUUGGAUGGACUCGCGGCUUAUCAGCUUGUUGGUGGGGUAGUGGCUUACCAAGGCUUUGACGGGUAGCCGGCCUGAGAGGGCGACCGGCCACAUUGGGACUGAGAUACGGCCCAGACUCCUACGGGAGGCAGCAGUGGGGAAUAUUGCACAAUGGGCGGAAGCCUGAUGCAGCAACGCCGCGGGCGGGAUGACGGCCUUCGGGUUGUAAACCGCUUUCAGCAGGGGCGAAGCUUGUGGUGACGGUACCUGCAGAAGAAGCACCGGCUAACUACGUG